CAUAGGUUUGGUCCCAGCCUUCCUGUUAACUUUCAAUAGACUUAUACAUGCAAGCAUCCACGCCCCGGUGAGUAACGCCCUUCGAAUCACAUAGGACUAAAAGGAGCAGGUAUCAAGCACACACUCUUGUAGCUCACAACGCCUUGCUUAACCACACCCCUACGGGAGACAGCAGUAACAAAAAUUAAGCCAUAAACGAAAGUUUGACUAAGCCAUAUUGACCAGGGUUGGUAAAUCUCGUGCCAGCCACCGCGGUCAUACGAUUGACCCAAGCUAACAGGAGUACGGCGUAAAGCGUGUUAAAGCAUCAUACUAAAUAGAGUUAAAUUUUAAUUAAACUGUAAAAAGCCAUAAUUAUAACAAAAAUAAAUGACGAAAGUAACCCUACAAUAGCUGAUACACCAUAGCUAAGACCCAAACUGGGAUUAGAUACCCCACUAUGCUUAGCCCUAAACACAAAUAAUUAU
RNAcentral lists this ribosomal RNA (467 nucleotides) under Ovis aries (sheep). RNAcentral's name for it is "partial 12S ribosomal RNA". The record is from RNAcentral. Lineage: Eukaryota; Metazoa; Chordata; Mammalia; Artiodactyla; Bovidae.